UUCGCAAUGCCCGAAAGGGUGACGAAGCGACGCCGCGUGUGGGAAGAAGGCCUUCGGGUUGUAAACCACUGUCGGGAGUUAAGAAAUGCAAGAAUGUUAAUAGCGUUUUUGCUUGACUAAGGCUCCGGAGGAAGCCACGGCUAACUCUGUGCCAGCAGCCGCGGUAAUACAGAGGCGGCAAGCGUUGUCCGGAAUUAUUGGGCGUAAAGAGCACGUAGGCGGCUAUAUAAGUCGGUUGUGAAAGCCUUCCGCUCAACGGGAGAACAGCAUCCGAUACUGUGUGGCUUGAGUGUGGGAGGGGAGAGCGGAACUUCUGGUGGAGCGGUGAAAUGCGUAGAUAUCAGAAGGAACGCCGGCGGCGAAAGCGGCUCUCUGGCCCAUAACUGACGCUGAGUGUGCGAAAGCUAGGGGAGCAAACGGGAUUAGAUACCCCGGUAGUCCUAGCCGUAAACGAUGGGCACUAAGUAGAGGGGUUU
Molecule: ribosomal RNA, 476 nt
Filed under: uncultured Planctomycetales bacterium
Lineage: Bacteria; Pseudomonadati; Planctomycetota; Planctomycetia; Planctomycetales
Description: bacterial SSU rRNA
Rfam family: Bacterial small subunit ribosomal RNA
Source: RNAcentral